AGCGAACGCUGGCGGUAGGCCUAACACAUGCAAGUCGAACGGCAGCACAGUAAGAGCUUGCUCUUACGGGCGGCGAGUGGCGGACGGUUGAGGAAUACAUCGGAAUCUACUCUUUCGUGGGGGAUAACGUAGGGAAACUUACGCUAAUACAGCAUACGACCUACGGGGGAAAGCAGGGGAUCUUCGGACCUUGCGCGAUUGAAUGAGCCGAUGUCGGAUUCGCUAGUUGGCGGGGGAAAGGCCCACCAAGGCGACGAUCCGUAGCUGGUCUGAGAGGAUGAUCAGCCACACUGGAACAGAGACACGGUCCAGACACCUGCGGGGGGCAGCAGUGGAGAAUAUUAGGCGAUGGGGGAAAGCCUGAUACAGCAAUACCGCGUGGGUGAAGAAGGAGUUCGGGUUGUAAAGCCCUGUUGUCGGGAAAGAAAAGCAGCAGGUUUAUACCGCGCUAUUCUGACGGUACCGAAAGAAUAAGCACCGGCUAACUUCGUG
This 492-nucleotide ribosomal RNA is filed under the name uncultured bacterium. Its description in RNAcentral is "partial 16S ribosomal RNA". It matches the Rfam family "Bacterial small subunit ribosomal RNA", at positions 29 to 507 of the family's 1533-position model. The record is from RNAcentral.